GACGAACGCUGGCGGCGUGCUUAACACAUGCAAGUCGAACGGUGAAGCGCCUUCCUUUUUGGUGGGUGUGGAUGAGUGGCGAACGGGUGAGUAACACGUGAGUAACCUGCCCCCUUCUUCUGGAUAACCGCAUGAAAGUGUGGCUAAUACGGGAUAUUCUGGGUCUGUCGCAUGAUGGGUCUGGGAAAGAUAUUGUUUCGGUGGGGGAUGGGCUCGCGGCCUAUCAGCUUGUUGGUGGGGUGAUGGCCUACCAAGGCGGUGACGGGUAGCCGGCCUGGGAGGGUGGACGGUCACACUGGGACUGAGACACGGCCCAGACUCCUACGGGAGGCAGCAGUGGGGAAUAUUGCACAAUGGGCGCAAGCCUGAUGCAGCGACGCCGCGUGAGGGAUGGAGGCCUUCGGGUUGUGAACCUCUUUCGCCAGUGAAGCAGGCCUGCCUCGUUUGUGGGUGGGUUGACGGUAGCUGGAUAAGAAGCGCCGGCUAACUACGU
Molecule: ribosomal RNA, 493 nt
Filed under: uncultured bacterium
Lineage: Bacteria
Description: partial 16S ribosomal RNA
Rfam family: Bacterial small subunit ribosomal RNA
Source: RNAcentral